CGCGCCGCCCGCCUGCCGCGCCGCCCCGGCCGCCGCCCGCCUGCCAAAGGUGUCUUGCACGAAGAGAAGCGGAAGGCUAGCUGCAGGGCAAGGAGUAGCCAGUAGAGCAAGACGAAGAGAGAAGCAGCAGCGGGCGCAUGCGGAGGCUGCGCGCCGCUCGGCCCGUCGUCCCCGUCGCCGGUGCUUCCGAUUCGCGGGGGUUUCUUCCAUGAUUCGGGAAGCAAGGCCAUGUCUCCCCUGCUCCUCGGAUUCCUCGGCUUACUCCUCGUCGCAGGUGAGGUGGUGGUGAUAGCCUUGAAGGUGAGGUGGUGGUGAUAGCCGGAGCGCAGGGCGGAGCCGGUAGCGCCGGCGACGACAGGGAGGUGCUUGACCGGAGCGUCGCCGGCGCACAGGAGGCUCGACUCGCGCACCAAUUUGCUAGAUGAUUCACCUCGCGAUUUGGCAGCUCUCAGCAGGCCAGACUAGCGAUCGCUCGAAUCCAUUUUAAUCCAUGUGCAAACAAAAUCUCUCUGAAUCUACAUUCUACAAUUUGACCCAAACUCAUUCAGUUGUGAAGUUCAUUCAGUUCGGUAAUGGCAUUUUAGGCCGUUGAAGCUUGUUAUUCUGAAGCUCAUUCAGUUCUGAAGUUCGGCAGUGGCAUUCUAGGCCGAGCUCAUUCUUUGUUUA
This is a long non-coding RNA of Setaria italica (foxtail millet), 666 nucleotides long. RefSeq lists it as uncharacterized. NCBI's taxonomy places the organism in Eukaryota, Viridiplantae, Streptophyta, Magnoliopsida, Poales, Poaceae. The transcript has 2 exons. The record is from RefSeq and is a predicted model, not a curated record.